RNAcentral lists this ribosomal RNA (253 nucleotides) under uncultured bacterium. RNAcentral's name for it is "partial 16S ribosomal RNA". It matches the Rfam family "Bacterial small subunit ribosomal RNA", at positions 524 to 776 of the family's 1533-position model. The record is from RNAcentral.
UACGGAGGGUGCAAACGUUGCUCGGAAUCAUUGGGCGUAAAGCGCACGUAGGCGGCUUGUUAAGUCGGGUGUGAAAGCCCUGGGCUCAACCCAGGAAGUGCACUCGAAACUGGCGAGCUUGAAUAUGGAAGAGGGUCGCGGAAUUCCCGGUGUAGAGGUGAAAUUCGUAGAUAUCGGGAGGAACACCAGUGGCGAAGGCGGCGACCUGGGCCUGACCUGACGCUGAGGAGCGAAAGCGUGGGGAGCGAACAGG